Non-coding RNA from Picea glauca (white spruce), 46 nucleotides. The record is from Rfam. NCBI's taxonomy places the organism in Eukaryota, Viridiplantae, Streptophyta, Pinopsida, Pinales, Pinaceae.
GUAAUGGUGUCUUUAGACACCACCUCUCUUUUUCAAAAUUUUGUGU